UGAAUGCUGAUGCUGUUAUAGCCACAGAGUUGCAUACUUCUGGUUCUUAUUUCACUGGUUUUCUCUCUAAGUCUGGUUUUCUUGUGAAACACAGUGCCCUUAAGGAUUAUUUUGGCGAUACAAAACCUGACCUUGGCAUUGGUAACACAAGCCUUCAUGAUCAACUUUUUAUUUCUCUUUGCAAGGAGGCUUAUGUGGUGAUGAAUGAGGGAAAAGUGAUGCCAAGGAACAAGUAUCCAAAGCCCUUAGUAUUUCAUGAUGGAAGACUUGCAUUCUUGCCUACUCCUUCAGCAACUCUGUGUAUGUUCAUGUGGCUUCCAAUUGGACUUGUGAUGGCCAUUUACAGAAUAUUUCUGGGUGUGUUCCUUUGUUGCAAAUUCACAAUGGCAUUAGGAGUGUGGUGUGGGUUGAAACUGGAUUUCAAAGACAAUAACCAGAAAAAAUCAGAGUCAGAUAAAGGGGUGCUUUAUGUUUGCACUCACAGGACUCUCUUGGAUCCAAUUUUUCUGAGCUCAGGUUUGGGGAGGCCUUUGACAGCAGUGACAUAUAGCUUAAGCAAGGUGUCUGAGUGUAUAGCCCCUAUUAGGACCAUAAGACUGACAAGGGACAGAAAAGAAGAUGGAGAAACUAUGAAAAGGUUGCUUGGUGAAGGGGAUUUGGUGGUGUUUCCUGAAGGAACAACUUGUAGGGAGCCCUAUCUUUUAAGGUUCAGUUCCUUGUUUGCAGAACUGGCUGAUGAGAUUGUGCCUGUGGCUGUGAAUGUUCAUCUGAGCAUGUUCUAUGGGACCACAGCAAGUGGCCUGAAGGUGUUGGAUCCAUUUUUCUUUUUCAUGAACCCUAGCCCUAAAUAUGACAUUGAGAUCCUUGAAAAGGUUCCUAAAGAACUCACUUGUGCUGGGGGAAGGUCAAGUCAUGAAGUGGCAAAUCACAUACAGAAACAGUUGGGCUAUGCUUUGGGAUUUGAGUGCACCAACCUUACAAGGAGGGAUAAAUAUAUAAUGCUGGCUGGAAACGAAGGGGUUGUUCAAGAAAACAAGGGGA
This 1041-nucleotide small RNA is filed under the name Vigna angularis var. angularis. RNAcentral describes it as "Non-protein coding transcript". Lineage: Eukaryota; Viridiplantae; Streptophyta; Magnoliopsida; Fabales; Fabaceae. The record is from RNAcentral.